UAUACCCCGAUGCCUUUUCCCUAUUCAGGUAUGUUUAUAUAUCUACAUCUUAGGAUUUCUCAAUUUCCAUACAUCUACUUGAGUUGAAUUUUUGAAUUUAUAUUCUAACAAUUUGAUAGAUAUUGUAUUGUAAUAGUUAAUGAGUGGAACCUUGAAGAUUAUAAUGUAAUGUUGGGAGGAGCCACAAUUCGUCCAGAAGACAUUUUGGGAUAAAAAUUCUUUCAAAAGUUUUUGAAAAAGCAUACAGGUUUGUUUUCUUGUCUUGUUGCUUUGAAUUUUUUCCUCUUGUUAUAUGCUAAAAAUUCUUGUAAAAGAAUUAUCUACACAUAAUUUUUCUCUCUUUGAACGUUCUUCUGCUAUUUUUACAAGUCAAACUUGCAUCUUAGUAUUAGUGUUUCUUUUGGUUCACUCAUUCUUUUGUGCUAAUUAUUGUUUCUUUUGAACUUACAGCGUACAUUUUAAUCUAUUGAAUGCAAGAAGAUCAAGAAUUCAGAGUGAAAUUACUUCAUCCUUGGCUAUAGAUGAUCAUCUGAUUGCAACAUCUUUAGUCCCCAGAUCAAAUACUUAGAACUUAGUUUUGUUUUGAUGUGGAACCCUUCAGAAUUUUAUAGAUUAUAGUUAAAUGAUCGACUAUACUUUAGAUUGAAAAUUGUAUAUUUUAGAAUUAAUUUUUGAAAGUAUUUAGAUGACAAUUUGUAUAAUAAAGU
Molecule: long non-coding RNA, 707 nt
Filed under: Nicotiana tabacum (common tobacco)
Lineage: Eukaryota; Viridiplantae; Streptophyta; Magnoliopsida; Solanales; Solanaceae
Description: long non-coding RNA (NTAB_LNC007295)
Source: RNAcentral